Molecule: long non-coding RNA, 1382 nt
Organism: Gallus gallus (chicken)
Lineage: Eukaryota; Metazoa; Chordata; Aves; Galliformes; Phasianidae
Source: Ensembl
AACUCAGACUUAACCCAGAAGGAACCAUUAAAUGCCGCAAUUUUUGCAGAUCACAGAGCGCUGACUUUCAUAGAGUUGCCCUUUGUGGAGGACCCAUAAACGUUUGUUUGAUUACUUAUUUUGUCCGCAUGAGAUUUGAUUGUUGAUUUGAAGAUAUCCAGGCAUGGAAAGUCCUCCGCUUCUCUUCGUAGCUUAUUUCAGUGGCUAAUCACUCUCACUUGCUCCUCAAUUAAAUCCUCCUGAUUCUGGCUUCCAGCCAUCCAUUCCCACUAUGCAUUUCUCAUUAAGUAAGACAGCUAAGAGCAAGUCAGGGUCAGUUACUGGCAAACUACGUCCUCUCUGCAAGAAUGUAUGUCAGCAUUUUUUUAUUAUGAACUCUUUGUACAUUUAUUUAAAUGAAUUCAAAAUAAAACAAAACAAAAACCGACCGACACCACCACCACUACCAAAAACACAGUGAAUUUAAGUGGUAGCAUUUCAUUUCAAAAGGCAUCAAGAGCUACGUCAGCAUAUGGUUUUAAUAUUUCUCCAGGCAGGCAUUAUCAAGAACUAGCAAAAUACAAAAAGAUUUUUUCCUCUGCUUUGUAUAUCAAACAUCUGCAUUCAAGUGUCUUCAUAUGAAGUUAGAGAAAUCUGCUGACUAAGGAGGAGGCCAGAACAGCAUGGGAAAUUCAAAAGCCAUUAUCAGCCGACCACGUGAAGGGAAUGACUGAAGGGAAUGAAAUGGGACUCAGAGCUCCACCUGUCUCUAGCAAAACUCCUAGGGAAAAAAACCUCAAAGUCCUAACUACGGCAUUCAGCAGCUCUAUUUUCUUCUCUGUAGUUGUUUCUUCUUGUCAACUCUACCCUAAAAUCAAGAUGGACAGAAAAAUGGAGGCCUCGGAGACUGGAAGAAACAGGAAUUACUCAAAAAUGCAGGGGAAAAAAAACAAACCAAACAAAUAAUAAUAAUAAUAAAAAAAAAACAGCAGAGGGAAGGAAAAGAAAUCUGGGCUGGCCUCCAUUGAAAUCAGUGGUAGUUUUGAUCCCAAUGAUAAUGUGCGAUUCACUACAUUGAAUUAUUUCUUCUACCCAUUCCUCUUAGAGCCAAUACCUGUCAAUGUCACUCAGCAUUUCAGCGUCUCUGCACUGGGGUAGGUCCAUCUGCAGGCUGGGUUUGAAGGUACAUCAGGACAAAAUGGAAACCUGAGGUGAGCUCAAGAAUGAUUUGUGAAUCCACCAAACCCUAAAGUCCACAGAGAUGCAAAAUUAGGCCAACAGCCCUACGGCAAGGGCAGAAAGAGAACAAGUACUCCAAAAAGAAAAGAAAAAGAAAAGAAAAGAAAAGAAAAGAAAAGAAAAGAACAGAAAAGAAAAGAAAAGAAAAGAAAAGAAAAGAAAAG